RNAcentral lists this RNase P RNA (412 nucleotides) under Actinomycetota bacterium. RNAcentral describes it as "RNase P RNA component class A". It matches the Rfam family "Bacterial RNase P class A". Rfam says of the family: Ribonuclease P (RNase P) is a ubiquitous endoribonuclease, found in archaea, bacteria and eukarya as well as chloroplasts and mitochondria. Lineage: Bacteria; Bacillati; Actinomycetota. The record is from RNAcentral.
UGAGUCGGUCGGGCGGCCGCGGCGGCACGGUCCUCGGAUCGGCGUCGUCGAGGAAAGUCCGGGCUUCGCAGGGCACGGUGGUGGGUAACGCCCACCCGGGGUGACCCGCGGGACAGUGCAACAGAGAGCAGACCGCCUCGUGCCUCCGGGCGCGGGGUAAGGGUGAAACGGUGGUGCAAGAGACCACCAGCACCCCAGGUGACUGGGGUGGCUAUGCAAACCCCACCCGAAGCAAGGUCAAGACGGAUCGGCGUCCGCGUCGGUCCUGCGUGAGCGUUCGAGGGUGGCCCGCCCGAGCUCACGGGUAGACCGCUGGAGGCUGUCGGCAACGGCAGUCGUAGAGGGAUGGCCGCGCAGGGGAGUCCGGCAACGGACCCCUGGACAGGACCCGGCUUACAGACCGACUCAUCCG